This 1397-nucleotide long non-coding RNA is filed under the name Homo sapiens (human). RNAcentral describes it as "PREDICTED lncRNA (TCONS_00036465)". Lineage: Eukaryota; Metazoa; Chordata; Mammalia; Primates; Hominidae. The record is from RNAcentral.
GAGUACCGGCUAGUAUCGCGAGAUCAGGAAGGUGGCCGAGUGUGUCGCCGCGGCCAUCAGGGGGGUUAUAGCCAUGUGACUGAUCUUCGUCCAAGAAUAUGUAAAGAAAAAGUGUUGAGUUGGCUUUUAGGGCUAGAGCAAUGUAUCUUAGGCUCACUUAAGGAAGCUGUAGAGAUGAGCCCAAGGAGGGAAACCAGAAGAGCCCCCCAGGCUCACCAGUUGUUUGUUGGCUCCCUACAAACAUGUCAUUCAAGUGGCUAAUCUUACAACAGCACAAAUUCAUCUAACCAGAAAGAGAAGAGGAGGCUCCAAAGGCACUUGACUACUGAGCAUCACCCUGGACGUGUACAAGUCUGCGUCCUUAUUGUUUUCUUCAUUGGGCCGAACUUUCUGGUCCUCAUCCAACAGCUCUUCUAUCACGUGUUCGAAAGUGUCAGCCAAUGAUGUCAAGCCUCUUGAACCUGCCUUGGGCCCAUUCACGCUCUCCAGAGUCCCAUGGGUCCGCACACCUGGAGAUACUCUAUUAUAGCAAAGAAGAAAGAUAAUUUCAUUGAGCCAUCCUGUUUUACAGGAAAUUCUGCAAGUGGCAACGUGGGUCCAUUCCGUGUGUGUCACUAGAGCUGGCGCAAGCCCAUGGCCAUGGUGAGGCAGCGUUUCCACUGGAACUAAUCUGAUACCUGCACCAGCUCUUGCAACUGUGCAGUGUUCCCACUGCAAACUACGGAUGGGGUAAAAGACUGCUCACCUCCUAUUUCUCAUCUAAUCUCACACACUCUGUUUGAUGAGGCUAUGGAGAAACAGGUCUUCUCAUACACUAAAGGUGGGAGUACAAACAAUUCAAGCCCUGUGCAGGACAAUUAGGCAAUACCUAUCAAAAUUAUACAUGAUUUUUCCUGCUGACCCAGCAAUUCCACUUCUGGGAAUAAUUGACAGAUAUAGGUGCAUAUGUACAAAAUGAUGGAAAGCUCUCUGGUAUAUAUUAGUAAGUGAUAAAACAAGGUGUAAAAUAGUGUAUAUAUGGCUACUACCUUUUGUUUUAAAAAUGGGGGAAAAUGGUGGAGCUUGCGGUGAGCCGAGAUCGUGCCACUGCACUCCAGCCUGGGCGACAGAGCGAGACUCCGUCUCAAAAAAAAAACAGGGUGGGGUGGGGGGGAAAUAAUAGUACAUACUCAUAUUUACCUGUAUCUAUAUAAAACACACUAUCAAGGAUUCACAAGAAACUAAUACAAAUGAUCACCUUAUAGAUGGUAUGUAUUGGGGGAUACUGAGGUGAGCAGGGUAUAAGUGGGGCAAGACUUUUCAGUGUAAACUUCUUUUAAAUUUUAUUUUGAUUUUUGAAUAAUGUAAAUUAACUGUCAAAUAAUUAAAUUAAAAAUAACCAAUUUAUUAACAAAACA